AGUGAACGCUGGCGGUAGGCCUAACACAUGCAAGUCGAACGGCAGCACAGUAAGAGCUUGCUCUUACGGGUGGCGAGUGGCGGACGGGUGAGGAAUACAUCGGAAUCUACUUUUUCGUGGGGGAUAACGUAGGGAAACUUACGCUAAUACCGCAUACGACCUACGGGUGAAAGCAGGGGAUCUUCGGACCUUGCGCGAUUGAAUGAGCCGAUGUCGGAUUAGCUAGUUGGCGGGGUAAAGGCCCACCAAGGCGACGAUCCGUAGCUGGUCUGAGAGGAUGAUCAGCCACACUAGAACUGAGACACGGUCCAGACUCCUACGGGAGGCAGCAGUGGGGAAUAUUGGACAAUGGGCGCAAGCCUGAUCCAGCCAUACCGCGUGGGUGAAGAAGGCCUUCGGGUUGUAAAGCCCUUUUGUUGGGAAAGAAAAGCAGCAGGUUAAUACCCCGCUGUUCUGACAGUACCCAAAGAAUAAGCACCGGCUAACUUCGUG
RNAcentral lists this ribosomal RNA (492 nucleotides) under uncultured bacterium. RNAcentral describes it as "partial 16S ribosomal RNA". It matches the Rfam family "Bacterial small subunit ribosomal RNA", at positions 29 to 507 of the family's 1533-position model. The record is from RNAcentral.